Biomphalaria pfeifferi is the source of this 1875-nucleotide non-coding RNA. The record is from the annotation of a GenBank genome assembly. NCBI's taxonomy places the organism in Eukaryota, Metazoa, Mollusca, Gastropoda, Planorbidae.
CCCCCCCCCCCCCCCCAUCUUGUGUGUUGUGUAAUAUGCCUAGGCAUGUAUUAUUGCUCUGCAAAGCUCAUAAUGCAAGAACACAAUUUAACAGGAAUUGUUUUUGAGUAGCCACCCUUGUUUAUCUUCAAAUCAUUUUGUUUGUAAAUAGUAUGCUGCACUCCUACGCUGGUUAUUAAUGAUGAAUGAUUAGCAUUACACACAACGAAUUCAAUAAGGAAUAGCAAUUAGAGCAAUUAGCAAUUCCCUUUCUGAACGAUUUGUUAGUUCUCCCAAUCUUGUGUCUGGUUACUUGCAUCGCUCAUUCCAUGCAAUGUUUUACCAUCUUUGCGCUAGAUACCCCCACCUCCAGUGUUUGCCAUGUUGCCCAGAUGUAUAUGUUAUAAUACUUAUUGUUGAUUUUGUUACUGUUGAUGGGCAGCAAUGGGUGUUUGAAUUGAGUGUUUAGCUACAGCGUUAGCUGUGAAUUGAGUGUAUAGCUGUGAAUUGAGUGUUUAGCUACAGAGUUAGCUUGCAGAGGUUAACAGAAUAAUGUUAGUCCUAGUUGUAAUAUUAGUUUUAUUGCAAUCAGAAAACCAAAUAUUCGAUUAGUUCAAAACGUUAGGUCUUUUUGUUUUGUUGGAGUUCCUUAAAAAUCUCUUUGAAAAUAUUCUAAAAUGUGAUAACCAUUUCUAUGUCAUUUUAAUUCAAUCCUCAAAUGUCUUUUUACAUUUUUAUUUGUACAUAUAAUGCUUUCACAUGAAGUUCUUAGAUCACAAAUGAGGUUGGUCUAUGCAUGUUGUUUUAUAGAUUUUUACAUUAUUAGGAGAACAGUAACUGUUUGGCUGCUAAUUAAGUUAUAGUGAUGUUUUUUUUAAAAAUAAAGUAGGGAUUGAAUGUGAUAUGUUUUAAAAUUGAAUUCCUUUUCUUAUGUUGGAUUUAAAAAAAAAAAGAGACCCAGGCCUAUUAUUAUUUGAGUCAAAAUUAUGAAAAAUAUUUUUUUUCAAAGCUUAGAUUUGUGCUAUGAGAUUUGUAGUAUGGUUUUCCUCAAAGUAAAUAAAUAAAUUUAUUAAAUAAAAGCAAGUCCAAACCAGUGCUUGUGUUAAAUCUGUUUAGUACGGCUGACUGGGAACUUCAAAAUGUCAGCUUGAUUUUUCCAAAUUCCAUCACCUUUGCUGUCCUGCCAGAUAUUUUAAGCCAAAAUAAUCUACAUUUUUAAAGGAAUGUUCAAAAUGUAUGCAAUGUGAAAUAAAACAUUUCAAUGUUGCUGACACCAAUUUCUGUUCUAUUAUUUCAUUUUGUGGAAGUAAUGAAUACCAUUAUGAAAAUAAUUUUAUUUUUGCUGUUCCAAUUAUAAAUAUUUCUAUGCAUCUGUUGAGCUUUUGUUUUGUUUUUAACAGAACACUUUGGCAUUCCAUUAGAUUCUCUAAUUCAUUCCAAAAUAUUUGUACAUUUCUUUAUCAGAGUCCAUUCCAUCAACUGUUUAGCAUUAGAGUCCAUUCCAUCAACUGUAUAGCAUCCGGUACUCAGUGGACAAGGUACAUUUCCUCAUGCACAAAUAUCAAACAUGCAAACGAAACAUUUUAUAUUUUAUGAUCACAUAAUCUUUAAAAGGAAUAUAUUCUAAUUGAAUUACUGAGUACAAUUUACAAAAUUGUAUGUUAUUAUUAUUGCAGUUCUAUGUAUCAUUCUAACCAUUUGCCAAACUGUUUUGAACAUAUUUUUGAAAUCAUAUUUUAGAAUGUCAUUCAAUUUUAAACUGUAAUGCUUAAAAAUUGAAUUAAACUUUGAAACAUUGAAAACAGUGUUUGAAUUGAAACAAUUUAUGAACUAGUGAAUCUGAGAUAAUGGGUACUGACUGGUACUUAAUACAAAACUCUUUAAAAAAAAAAAAAA